This 103-nucleotide non-coding RNA is filed under the name uncultured Lawsonibacter sp. The record is from RNAcentral. Lineage: Bacteria; Bacillati; Bacillota; Clostridia; Eubacteriales; Oscillospiraceae.
CAGGGGCGCUGGAAGCUGCUUCCGGCUGAGAUGCAGAGACGAGCUUGCCGUCUCCGGUCCCUUUCACCUGAUCCGGGUAAUGCCGGCGUAGGAAGUGCUGAGA